RNAcentral lists this long non-coding RNA (1399 nucleotides) under Anas platyrhynchos platyrhynchos (common mallard). Its description in RNAcentral is "lncRNA (ENSAPLG00000028331.1)". Lineage: Eukaryota; Metazoa; Chordata; Aves; Anseriformes; Anatidae. The record is from RNAcentral.
AUGGCCACCAUCGGCUCCACGGUCUGCUUGGAGCAGCCUGCGGGGUGCUUGUGGGGUCGGAGGGGCCUGAUGGGGUCUGCAGAGCUCAGCUGGGACCACCCCAAGCUCGCCCUGUGCCCCCCAAUGGGGCCGGGCUGUCCGCAUCCAUCCCUGACACCUCCGCUCCUCCAUCCCACAGAGCCCGGCCCCGGCACUGAGCGGGGCAUGGACGGCCCCGAAAUCUUCCUGGGCCCCUGCGAGGGAGCCCUCUGCGGGGUCCCGGGGCAGAAGCGCCGCUGCAUGUCGGCCCUGGAGCCCGUCACUGUGCCCAGCCCCAAAUCCGAGGCCAGCUGGGGCGAGGAGGAGGAGGAAGAGGAGGAAGAUGAAGAGGAUGAAGAGCGGUCCCGGGGGGUGCCGCUGCGGCGAGCCUGUGCCCUGCGGACCUCGAUGCGCAGCCGGGACCCGUUCCGACGGCACAGCUGGGAGCCGGGCAAGGAGCUGCGCGGGGUCCCCGGCUACGACCAGCUCAGCGUGAGCCUCAAGGGGCUGAGCCCCGACGACAUCGACUCCAGCACGGAGCAGCUGGACGGGCUGGGGAGACGCCGGUGGGACCCCCGGAGAGCCCCCCUGAUCCACAGCACCGAGUCCCUGCUGUCCCUGGACGAGGAGGACGAGGCCGAUCUGCAGCGGGCGCAGGUAGGAGAUGCUGCUGCUCUUCCUCCUCCUCUUCCUCCUCCUCUUCCUCCUCCUCCUGCCACCCCAGGGUGCAGCACCCACCUCCCCCUGCAGCUGGCAGCACGGGGCCGAGGCCGGGGGACCCCAAGAACCGCGGUGGAUGGAGGCAGCCCAGCAGAGCCCCUGCCCCGGGUGCCUUCUCCAUCCCCCCGGGGGGGGUCGGUUUUUUUUUUUUUUGGGGGGGGGGGCUUCAUUUUGGGGAGGGGGAAAUUAAAGCUCUGUGAGCCCAGGGAGCGCCCGGUGCACGGGGACCCCGCUGGCACCACAAAGGGCAACCACCACCCUGCGCCCAGGGACUGGGGUCGGUGAUCCCAGUGAUCCCAGUGGUCCCAGUGAUCCCAGUGAUCCCAGUGAUCCCGGUGGUCCCAGUGGUCCCGGUGGUCCCGGUGAUGCCAACCCCAUGCCUGCUGGCAGGAGGACGCGCGGAGGCUUCAGGUGUACGGGGCCAGGAGCGCCGGCGGCUGCGCCCUCGCCAAAUCCGCGUCCCUCAGCGUCAUCGACAGCUUCCCCCCCGCCGUGGGUGAGUGCCAGCGCCCGCAGGGAUGGGUGGGGGUUUUGGGGCGAUGGGACCCCCGCCCCUCCUUUAAUUCGGGCCCCCUCUCUUGCAGAAAUUUCCCCCUUCGCCUCCCAGCAGAGCCUGGCCAACGGGUGAGUGUGGGGGCUGCGGGGGGCGCAGGGGGGUGUG